RNAcentral lists this transfer RNA (70 nucleotides) under Loxodonta africana (African savanna elephant). It matches the Rfam family "tRNA". Rfam says of the family: Transfer RNA (tRNA) molecules are approximately 80 nucleotides in length. Lineage: Eukaryota; Metazoa; Chordata; Mammalia; Proboscidea; Elephantidae. The record is from Rfam by way of RNAcentral.
GCAUUGGUGGUUCAGUGGUAGAAUCCUCACCUUUGUGCAGAAGAUCCGGGUUCGAUUCCUAGCCAGUGCA